GACGAACGCUGGCGGCACGCCUAACACAUGCAAGUCGAACGGAGAUGAGAACUUCGGUUCUCUGAUCAGUGGCGGACGGGUGAGUAACACGUGAGCAACCUGCCUUUCAGAGGGGGACAACAGCUGGAAACGACUGCUAAUACCGCAUAACGUCAUUUUAGGGCAUCCUUUAAUGACCAAAGAUUUAUCGCUGAAAGAUGGGCUCGCGUCUGAUUAGAUAGUUGGUGAGGUAACGGCUCACCAAGUCGACGAUCAGUAGCCGGACUGAGAGGUUGAACGGCCACAUUGGGACUGAGCCACGGCCCAG
RNAcentral lists this ribosomal RNA (307 nucleotides) under uncultured bacterium. RNAcentral describes it as "bacterial SSU rRNA". It matches the Rfam family "Bacterial small subunit ribosomal RNA", at positions 28 to 334 of the family's 1533-position model. The record is from RNAcentral.